This 497-nucleotide ribosomal RNA is filed under the name uncultured bacterium. RNAcentral describes it as "partial 16S ribosomal RNA". It matches the Rfam family "Bacterial small subunit ribosomal RNA", at positions 28 to 507 of the family's 1533-position model. The record is from RNAcentral.
GAUGAACGCUGGCGGCGUGCCUAAUACAUGCAAGUCGAACGAACGGACGCGUACCUUGCUGGUCUGAUGUUAUGGGCGGACAAGUGAGGAAUAAGUCGUUAACCUCCUUCUCCGUCUUGGAGGACUUCGGCAUACCGGAGCUAAUACCGCAUAAUAUUUUGAACCUGAUGGUUCAAGAGUGAGAGACGGUCUUGCUGUCACUGAUGGAUGGAUCCGCGCUGCAUUAGCUUGUUGGUGAGGUGACGGCUUACCAAGGCAGCGAUGCAUAGCCGACCUGAGAGGGGGAUCGACCGCACUGGAAGUGAGACACGGCCCAGACGCCUCCGGGAGGAAGCAGUGGGGAAUAUUACGCAAUGGGGGAAAGACGGACGGAGCAACGACGCGUCAGUGAUGGAGGUCUUCGUCUCGUAGAACUCUGCUAUCAGGGAAGAACAUAUGUGUAAGUAACUGUGCACAUCUUGACGGUACCUAAUCAGAAAGCCACGGCUAACUACGUG